RNAcentral lists this long non-coding RNA (602 nucleotides) under Heterocephalus glaber (naked mole-rat). RNAcentral describes it as "lncRNA (ENSHGLG00100037946.1)". Lineage: Eukaryota; Metazoa; Chordata; Mammalia; Rodentia; Bathyergidae. The record is from RNAcentral.
ACCGGUGUUUGCAUUUAAUUUCUUUUCAUUGGCUUUUCCAGGACAGCGGUCCAGGUCUCACCUUCCUAACAGGGUCAGAGAGCUCCCUUGCCAGCAAGGUACUGCCACCUUCGACUUCCACUUCCUCACUUCCUGGCAGGAUGCAGCUCAGGGCUCUCACCGGGUCCUGAGGCAACAAGGGAUCAGCCAAGGAAGGGACAGUGGGCCUCACCCCCCAUCAGACCUGAGAAGGGGCCCGAAGUGGAACAGAGACAACGGGACAGGUUUGGUCCCUGCAGUCCAGGGCUCCACCUACCACGACGAAAAACCUACUUUUCAGAAAAUGCCAGCCUCUAAGACGUCCCCGACAGGGGUGUUGGGAUCUUACUAUGUAGUUCAGCCUGGCCUUGAGCUCACAGCGAUCCUCCUGCCUCAGCCUCCCGAGUGUUGGGAGGACAGGUGUGCGCCACCGAGCCUGGGGUCAGCCUGCUUUUUGAAGGAGGGAUCGAACUUGGAACCUUGCAGCUUGCAAGACGGGCACCAGAACACCGAGCUAAAUCCCGGCCCAUGUGGACCAUAUCUUAACAUUAAAAAAAUUUUUUCCCUAAAAAUAAAAAUUCCAC